RNAcentral lists this long non-coding RNA (674 nucleotides) under Helianthus annuus (common sunflower). RNAcentral describes it as "hypothetical non coding rna". The record is from RNAcentral. Lineage: Eukaryota; Viridiplantae; Streptophyta; Magnoliopsida; Asterales; Asteraceae.
GUGGUGGAUGCAUUGACUUUCCAAUAUUUUAUUAGUCUGGUAAUAUAAAAAGAGAAUUGGUAUGCGUCUUAUGAAUGUUAUGUAUCACUUGAUACUGAAAGUUUACAUGAAAGUCCCGAAGGAUUAAAUUAUGUAGGUCAUGUAAAGUAAGUUCUCGAGAACAAUGUGAUCAUUUAUACAUAUUCGGAUUUGAAUAGGUUAUGAUUAUUUUACAUGUUGGAUAUAAUUGGAACUCCUGAUGAGUUUCUAAAAGCAAUUGAGUGCUUAAAAGGUUAAUUGAAACAUCUUAAUGAUGUAAUACUUGUGCACCAAGAAACAUACACAGAAAACUUGUACCUGGUGUUUGUGAUAUCUCAAUAAAUAGUGUACACACAUGGUACAAUAUGGAUUUUGGAGAUAAAAGCAAGUGUUCAUAACAUUUUUGCAUAUGAUAUAUGUUUUGAUAUCUAUGUGUUAAAUGGGCAAAUUUAUGUAGCAAAACUCCUAAAGAGUGAAAUCACAUGCAUAUUAGGAUAAGAUGGAACAAAUUCCCUCAUGGUUUAAUAAUGCCAGAAGUAUUGAUGUCAAAACCUCAAGAACAUACUCUAUGAAGUUGACAAAAUAUGUAUGGACUAAAAUAGUCGGGUAAAGUGUUGUACAACUCGAGAUAUUCGCAUAAAGAGGGAUAUAAGUUU